GCAUUGGUGGUUCAGUGGUAGAAUACUUGUCUUCCAUGCUGGAGACCCGUGCUCAAUUCCUGCCAAUGCU
RNAcentral lists this transfer RNA (70 nucleotides) under Loxodonta africana (African savanna elephant). It matches the Rfam family "tRNA". Rfam says of the family: Transfer RNA (tRNA) molecules are approximately 80 nucleotides in length. Their secondary structure includes four short double-helical elements and three loops (D, anti-codon, and T loops). Further hydrogen bonds mediate the characteristic L-shaped molecular structure. tRNAs have two regions of fundamental functional importance: the anti-codon, which is responsible for specific mRNA codon recognition, and the 3' end, to which the tRNAs corresponding amino acid is attached (by aminoacyl-tRNA synthetases). tRNAs cope with the degeneracy of the genetic code in two manners: having more than one tRNA (with a specific anti-codon) for a particular amino acid; and 'wobble' base-pairing, i.e. permitting non-standard base-pairing at the 3rd anti-codon position. The record is from Rfam by way of RNAcentral. Lineage: Eukaryota; Metazoa; Chordata; Mammalia; Proboscidea; Elephantidae.